AGGCUGCAACUCGCCUACAUGAAGUCGGAAUUGCUAGUAAUCGCGGAUCAGCAUGCCGCGGUGAAUACGUUCCCGGGCCUUGUACACACCGCCCGUCACACCAUGGAGUCGGUAACACCCGAAGCCUGUAGUCUAACCGCAAGGAGGACGCAGUCGAAGGUGGGAUUGAUGACUGGGUGAAGUCGUAACAAGGUAAC
Molecule: ribosomal RNA, 197 nt
Filed under: uncultured bacterium
Lineage: Bacteria
Description: partial 16S ribosomal RNA
Rfam family: Bacterial small subunit ribosomal RNA
Source: RNAcentral